GACGAACGCUGGCGGCGUGCUUAACACAUGCAAGUCGAACGGAAAGGCCCUGCUUUUGUGGGUUGCUCGAGUGGCGAACGGGUGAGUAACACGUGAGUAACCUGCCCUUGACUUUGGGAUAACUUCAGGAAACUGGGGCUAAUACCGGAUAGGAUCUCCUGCUGCAUGGUGUUGGUUGGAAAGUUUCGGCGGUUGGGGAUGUACUCGCGGCUUAUCAGCUUGUUGGUGGGGUAGUGGCUUACCAAGGCUUUGACGGGUAGCCGGCCUGAGAGGGUGACCGGGCACAUUGGGACUGAGAUACGGCCCAGAAGCCUACGGGAGGCAGCAGUGGGGAAUAUUGCACAAUGAGCGGAAGCCUGAUGCAGCAACGCCGCGUGCGGGAUGACGGCCUUCGGGUUGUAAACAGCUGUCGCAUGUGACGAAGAGUGAGUGACGGUAAUGGGUAAAGAAGCACCGGCUAACUACGUG
RNAcentral lists this ribosomal RNA (468 nucleotides) under uncultured bacterium. RNAcentral describes it as "partial 16S ribosomal RNA". It matches the Rfam family "Bacterial small subunit ribosomal RNA", at positions 28 to 507 of the family's 1533-position model. The record is from RNAcentral.